AUGUAAAUUCCUACAACAUAACCCUAAUGCACCAAAUCCCAUUAGAAUUCUGCAGUUAAGUAUGCUCGGUAUAGAGUAGUAAUGGGAUGGGUGACCUUCUAGGAAGUCCUAGUGUUUUACAUG
Non-coding RNA from Picea glauca (white spruce), 123 nucleotides. Lineage: Eukaryota; Viridiplantae; Streptophyta; Pinopsida; Pinales; Pinaceae. The record is from Rfam.